RNAcentral lists this ribosomal RNA (253 nucleotides) under uncultured bacterium. RNAcentral's name for it is "partial 16S ribosomal RNA". It matches the Rfam family "Bacterial small subunit ribosomal RNA", at positions 524 to 776 of the family's 1533-position model. The record is from RNAcentral.
UACAGAGGGGGCAAGCGUUAUUCGGAAUUAUUGGGCGUAAAGGGCGCGUAGGCGGCUUGGCAAGUGGAUGGUGAAAUCCCUCGGCUUAACCGAGGAACUGCCGUCCAAACUGCUUCGCUUGAGACCGGGAGAGGUGAGUGGAAUUCCCAGUGUAGCGGUGAAAUGCGUAGAUAUUGGGAGGAACACCAGUGGCGAAGGCGGCUCACUGGACCGGUACUGACGCUGAGGCGCGAAAGCGUGGGGAGCAAACGGG